Molecule: ribosomal RNA, 222 nt
Filed under: Methylobacterium sp. DB0501
Lineage: Bacteria; Pseudomonadati; Pseudomonadota; Alphaproteobacteria; Hyphomicrobiales; Methylobacteriaceae
Description: partial 23S ribosomal RNA
Rfam family: Bacterial large subunit ribosomal RNA
Source: RNAcentral
GAGCGAUCAAGUGCCUUAAGAGCAUCUGGUGGAUGCCUUGGCGCUGAGAGGCGAUGAAGGACGUGGUACGCUGCGAUAAGCCUUGGGGAGCUGCGAACGAGCUUUGAUCCGAGGAUCUCCGAAUGGGGAAACCCACCUUCAGCCACCGUAUCGUGGAUCCAGUUCACUGGGUCUGCGCUACGAUGGUUCGAGAAGGUAUCAAGCCCUGAAUUCAUAGGGGUU